UUUAUCGCCUCAAUUAUGUAUGAGUACCCGCUGAACUUAAGCAUAUCGUUAAGCGGAGGAAAAGAAACUAAAUAGGAUUUCCAUAGUAACUGCGAGUGAACUGGAAUUAGCCCAUCACGAAAUCUUUAAUAUGAUAAUAUUAACGAAAUGUCGUGUAUAAGUAUUUAUCUGGUAAUAAUAUUAUUGAAUAAUUGCAUUUAAACAUGCAGCCACAGAAGGUGCCAGCCCUGUCGUUCUUUAAUAUUAUUAUCAAUUUAUUUACUUUAGAGUCGUGUUGCUUGGAAGUGCAGCGCAAAGUUGGUGAUAAACAUCAUCUAAGGCUAAAUAUCCCUAUGAAUCCGAUAGCGAACAAGUACUGUGAAGGAAAAUUGCAAAGUACUCCGGAGAGAGAGUUAAAGAGGACGUGAAACCGAUACGAUGGAAGCAUACAGAGCCAGUUGCACUUAUAAUAUUUUUAAUAUUAUAUUUAAGCAUGGGUAUAUUGAUAUUUUGUUAAUUGAUUAUUAAAGAGUAAUAUAAAUUUAUUUAUGUUGGCUUUAAUAAUUAAAUUCUCAUUAUAUUAAUAUUUUUUUUGUUGAUGGAUUAUUAUAAUAUAUCUAAUAUAUUAUUUACAAUGCACAUGUGUUUAGUAUUUAAUAUAUUUUAUAUAUUAUUUUAUAAGUUAACAUUCCUAUGUAAUCCUGGUAUGCUGUAUGUCCCGUCUUGAAACACGGACCAAGGAGUGUAUUGCUAUGGCAAGUCAUUAAUAUUGUUAAUAUUAAAGGCGUAAUGAAAAUAAUUUUAUCUCAGAUAAUUAUUUUUUAUAAUAAUUCGCAUGAGAGACGUGGAUAUAAGAUUUAUCUUUUUCCGCAGUUAUAGCCAUAGUAGUGCGACCCGAAAGAUGGUGAACUAUGCUAGCGCAGGGUAAAGUCAGAAGAAAUUCUGAUGGAAGCUCGAAGCGGUCCUGACGUGCAAAUCGGUCGUCUGACGUUAGUAUAGGGGCGAAAGACUAAUCGAACCAUCUAGUAGCUGGUUCCGGCCGAAGUUUCCCCCAGGAUAGCUGAAGCCUUAUACAGAUACAUCCGGUAAAGCUAAUGUUUAGAGGAAUAGGGAAUAACAUAUUCUUUAUCUAUUUACAAACUAUAAAUGGGUGUGAUAUUAUAAUUACUUAAUUGAAUUAUAAUCUCGAUUGUAUGGUUUCAAGUGGGCCAUUUUUGGUAAGCAGAACUGGCGACGUGGGAUGAACCAAAAGUGUCGUUAAAGUGCCUAAACUCUUGCUCAUCAGACCCCAUAAAGAGUGUUGUUUGAUCCUGACAGCAGGGCGGUGGCCAUGGAAGUCGGAAUCCGCUAAGGAUCGUGUAACAACUCACCUGCCGAAUCAAGCAGCCUCGAAAAUGGAUGGCGCUUGAGCAAGAUACUUAGACGAUACCAUUAAUUUAUAUAAAAAUUAAUGUGUAGGCUGGCGUGAUAAUAGCAUUGAAGAUUAUAAGCGUAAGCUUGAUUGGAGCUGUUAUUAGUGCAGAUCUUGGUGAUAGUAGCAAAUACACAAGUGAGAAUCUUGUGGGCCGAAGUGGAAAAGGGUUUCACGUCAACAUCAUUUGACUGUGAGUUAGUCGGUCCUAAGCUAACUACGAAAGUACUUUUAAAUUUAGCGAAAGGGAAAUAGAUUAAUAUUUCUAUACUGUUUACGGAGAUAUAAUAAGUAAAAUUAUUAUAUGCGUGGUAACACAAAUGAAACUAACUACGGUUUAAUAAGUUUUGGGUAGAGAUUUCUUCUCUAUUUAAGUUAUAAAAUCCAUGNGUAAAGCUAAUGUUUAGAGGAAUAGGGAAUAACAUAUUCUUUAUCUAUUUACAAACUAUAAAUGGGUGUGAUAUUAUAAUUACUUAAUUGAAUUAUAAUCUCGAUUGUAUGGUUUCAAGUGGGCCAUUUUUGGUAAGCAGAACUGGCGACGUGGGAUGAACCAAAAGUGUCGUUAAAGUGCCUAAACU
RNAcentral lists this ribosomal RNA (1968 nucleotides) under Parastrongyloides trichosuri. RNAcentral's name for it is "eukaryotic LSU rRNA". It matches the Rfam family "Eukaryotic large subunit ribosomal RNA", at positions 1 to 1793 of the family's 3401-position model. The record is from RNAcentral. Lineage: Eukaryota; Metazoa; Nematoda; Chromadorea; Rhabditida; Strongyloididae.